AUUGAACGCUGGCGGCAUGCUUUACACAUGCAAGUCGAACGGCAGCGGGGAGGAGCUUGCUUCUCUGCCGGCGAGUGGCGAACGGGUGAGUAAUACAUCGGAACGUGUCGAGAAGAGGGGGAUAACCACCCGAAAGGGUGGCUAAUACCGCAUAAAUUCUGAGGAAGAAAGCUGGGGACCUAGGAAUAGGCCUAGCGCUUUUUGAGCGGCCGUUGUCGGAUUAGCUAGUUGGUGAGGUAAAGGCUCACCAAGGCGAAGAUCUGUAGCGGGUCUGAGAGGAGGAUCCGCCACACUGGGACUGGAACACGGCCCAGACUCCUGCGGGAGGCAGCAGUGGGGAAUGUUGGACAAUGGGGGCAACCCUGAUCCAGCCAUGCCGCGUGUAUGAAGAAGGCCUUAGGGUUGUAAAGUACUUUUGUUAGGGAAGAAAAGUCAGCUGUGAAUAAUGGCUGAUACUGACGGUACCUAAAGAAUAAGCACCGGCUAACUACGUG
RNAcentral lists this ribosomal RNA (494 nucleotides) under uncultured bacterium. RNAcentral describes it as "partial 16S ribosomal RNA". It matches the Rfam family "Bacterial small subunit ribosomal RNA", at positions 30 to 507 of the family's 1533-position model. The record is from RNAcentral.